CCUACGGGGUGCAGCAGUGAGGAAUAUUGGUCAAUGGACGAGAGUCUGAACCAGCCAAGUAGCGUGAAGGAUGACUGCCCUAUGGGUUGUAAACUUCUUUUAUAUGGGAAUAAAAUGUUCCACGUGUGGGAUUUUGUAUGUACCAUAUGAAUAAGGAUCGGCUAACUCCGUGCCAGCAGCCGCGGUAAUACGGAGGAUCCGAGCGUUAUCCGGAUUUAUUGGGUUUAAAGGGAGCGUAGGUGGAUUGUUAAGUCAGUUGUGAAAGUUUGCGGCUCAACCGUAAAAUUGCAGUUGAAACUGGCAGUCUUGAGUACAGUAGAGGUGGGCGGAAUUCGUGGGGUAGCGGUGAAAUGCUUAGAUAUCACGAAGAACUCCGAUUGCGAAGGCAGUUCACUGGACUGCAACUGACACUGAGGCUCGAAAGUGUGGGUAUCAAACAGGAUGAGAUACCCGUGUAGGC
RNAcentral lists this ribosomal RNA (460 nucleotides) under uncultured bacterium. Its description in RNAcentral is "partial 16S ribosomal RNA". It matches the Rfam family "Bacterial small subunit ribosomal RNA", at positions 338 to 795 of the family's 1533-position model. The record is from RNAcentral.